GCCGGGAUGGCGGAACUGGCAGACGCAGCGGACUCAAAAUCCGUCGGAAGCAAUUCCAUGGGGGUUCGACCCCCCCUCCCGGCA
Molecule: transfer RNA, 84 nt
Filed under: Edaphobacter modestus
Lineage: Bacteria; Pseudomonadati; Acidobacteriota; Terriglobia; Terriglobales; Acidobacteriaceae
Rfam family: tRNA
About the family: Transfer RNA (tRNA) molecules are approximately 80 nucleotides in length. Their secondary structure includes four short double-helical elements and three loops (D, anti-codon, and T loops). Further hydrogen bonds mediate the characteristic L-shaped molecular structure. tRNAs have two regions of fundamental functional importance: the anti-codon, which is responsible for specific mRNA codon recognition, and the 3' end, to which the tRNAs corresponding amino acid is attached (by aminoacyl-tRNA synthetases). tRNAs cope with the degeneracy of the genetic code in two manners: having more than one tRNA (with a specific anti-codon) for a particular amino acid; and 'wobble' base-pairing, i.e. permitting non-standard base-pairing at the 3rd anti-codon position.
Source: Rfam by way of RNAcentral